GAAAGGACGGAGGCUGUUAUCUAUGGCAGAUCUAUCCAAUAAAGGAGAGAAAGGACCGCAUACGCCUGGUUCUCAUCAUAUGCAAUAAAGAGUUUGACCAUCUGCCUCCAAGAAAUGGGGCUGACUUUGCCAUCAUGGAGAUGAAGAAGCUGCUUGAGGAUCUGGGUUACAGUGUGGAUGUAGAAGAGAAUCUGACAGCCAGGCAAACCAUGGGGAACAGUGGGUCAGAGACUGUCCAGCAUCUUUGGGAGUCAUGUCUUCACAGUCACCUAAGAACCUGGAGGAUGCAGUUUGCAAGACAUACCAGAGAAGGACUUCAUUGUUUUCUGCUCUUCAACCUCAUGUAUACGUCUUUUGGUGAUAACGUGUCCAGGAGAGACAGCACAAGGGGCUCCAUCUUCAUCACACAACUCAUCGCAUGCUUCCAGAGAUAUUCCUGGCGCUGCCACCUAGAGGAAGUAUUUUGGAAGGUUCAGCAAGCAUUUGAAAGUCCGGAGGCAACAGU
Molecule: long non-coding RNA, 505 nt
Organism: Homo sapiens (human)
Lineage: Eukaryota; Metazoa; Chordata; Mammalia; Primates; Hominidae
Gene: CASP4LP
Product: caspase 4 like, pseudogene
Source: Ensembl